UAUUAAAAUUUUCAUCUAAUUAUACUAUUGAAAAUUGGCAUGGCUGGUGAAAAUAAUCAGAUAGUAAAGAUAGGUGGUGUGCCACAUGUACCUUAUGGCGAUGUACAAAGAGCAGUUUUUAACAAUAAAAAUAGAUGAGUUUUUUAAUA
Molecule: microRNA precursor, 149 nt
Filed under: Gossypium hirsutum (cotton)
Lineage: Eukaryota; Viridiplantae; Streptophyta; Magnoliopsida; Malvales; Malvaceae
Description: MIR7502 microRNA precursor family
Rfam family: MIR7502 microRNA precursor family
Source: Rfam by way of RNAcentral